This 242-nucleotide unclassified non-coding RNA is filed under the name uncultured fungus. RNAcentral describes it as "sequence contains ITS2". The stretch from base 1 to 52 matches the Rfam family "5.8S ribosomal RNA", at positions 103 to 154 of the family's 154-position model. The record is from RNAcentral. Lineage: Eukaryota; Fungi.
AACGCACAUUGCGCCCUCUGGUAUUCCGGGGGGCAUGCCUGUUCGAGCGUCAUUAACAACCUUCAAGCUUUGCUUGGUAUUAGGCCACACCUGCUUAUACAGGCGGGCCGUAAAAUCAGUGGCGGUGCCUUCUGGCUUCAAGCGUAGUAAAUAUUUCGCCUGGAUAACUAGAAGGUUACUUGCCAACAACCCUAAUUUUCAAAGUUGACCUCGGAUCAGGUAGGGAUACCCGCUGAACUUAA